CAUUUAAUGAUUAAAAAUGACUAACAAUUCAUAAAUAAGUUACAUAAAUUAUUGACAAGCUUUAUAAUUGUACAUUACACCUUUUGACAGGCAAAAUGCAUCCAACCUAUUCUUAAAAGAGUUAAUUGAAGGGCUUGUUCCAUGAUUUUACCGCAUGGAGUGUGAAAAAAUUCUUUCUCUUUUCAGACAGGCAUGUUCUAAGGUAAAGUUUUAAAGAAUUCCCUCGUGUCUCAUACCUAUUGCUCCAAAACUGAAAGUUAGGCUCAACUGUUACAUCAUAUAUUCCCUGUACAUUGGGAAUACCUGUAUUUAUAGAGAUGUGCAGUGGGGGUUCUUAGAAGCACAGAGGUUAAGGAGUCAGACUUGUAACACGGUUGGAUUUCUGACUGGGCCAAAUGUCAUUUACACUAAGUUGCUUCAGAUGAUAUCCCUGUACUCACUGUAAGUCGCUCUGAAAAAUCGUGACUGCUAAAUGACAAAGUACUGUACUGAUUAUUAGAGCAGGAAACCCCUCAGUUGUGUUUUAUAAACUCCUUAAUACACACAAUAGAAAUCAUUUUCAGUUGCUUCAUAUAAGAUGUUAGUUGACAUGUUGACCUUUUUUUAAUUUAUUGCCACAAAAAAAACAGUCUCUUCCCCACCUCCUUGGCGUUAUCUCCUAAUUUAGGCCCUUUGCUUUUCCCUGACCUUGGUUCAUUUCAUAGCAUCCUUUCCUACUUACUUGGUAGUUGGUAGGACAACAAUAGGACAACAAGGUCAUGUGUUCUACAAUAAAAAAAACAAAUGCCAGAAAUGUACAAUACUUCUGCUUUGAUUAACUGACAUCUUCUGUAUUUGUUUCUGUCUGUUGCAGCUCAAGAAGAUGAACUUACAAUUAACCAAGAAUUAAUUAUAUGGAAAAAUAAAGCAAAGAUCCUCCAGGAUCGAGUGGAACAACUCGAGAAUGAUAAAAAGUUUCUCGAGCAGCAACUGGCUGAGAUAACAGCUGAAACUGAGGUGACUGAUGCUGUGCAGCCUGAGGAAAAUGAGGAGAGGCCCCAGCUGACAUCCCAGCAGUCUUUCAACACUGACACCGAUUCCAGCUCCAACUCCGAUUCCAGCUCAGACACCGAUUCCAGCUCAGAGUCCGAUUCCAGCUCAGACUCUGAUUUG
Long non-coding RNA from Sander lucioperca (pikeperch), 1152 nucleotides. RefSeq lists it as uncharacterized. The transcript is spliced from 2 exons. The record is from RefSeq and is a predicted model, not a curated record. NCBI's taxonomy places the organism in Eukaryota, Metazoa, Chordata, Actinopteri, Perciformes, Percidae.